This 254-nucleotide ribosomal RNA is filed under the name uncultured bacterium. Its description in RNAcentral is "partial 16S ribosomal RNA". It matches the Rfam family "Bacterial small subunit ribosomal RNA", at positions 524 to 776 of the family's 1533-position model. The record is from RNAcentral.
UACGUAGGGUGCAAGCGUUGUCCGGAAUUAUUGGGCGUAAAGAGCUCGUAGGCGGUUUGUCGCGUCGGCUGUGAAAGCCCGGAGCUCAACUCCGGGUCUGCAGUCGAUACGGGCAGACUUGAGUGUUGCAGGGGAGACUGGAAUUCCUGGUGUAGCGGUGAAAUGCGCAGAUAUCAGGAGGAACACCGGUGGCGAAAGGCGGGUCUCUGGGCCGUAACUAACGCUGAGGAGCGAAAGCGUGGGGAGCGAACAGG